GGAGGCCAGUCAAAACUUCGGGAAUCCCAAACUCCUUUCCCUUGUCCCUCCCUGUCUGACUGACUGACUGACUGACUGACUGUCUCUGAAAUACAAGGUAUGCUUAGCAGUCACUUUUGUUGAACGAGAUGGCAUAAGAGUUAGCGUGUUAUUUUUUUUCUUUGUGCGGUUAUUACACUUGUUUGUCAGAAAUUUACAAGGCACCAACCACAAUCAUACAGGG
Molecule: long non-coding RNA, 223 nt
Filed under: Gossypium raimondii (Peruvian cotton)
Lineage: Eukaryota; Viridiplantae; Streptophyta; Magnoliopsida; Malvales; Malvaceae
Description: long non-coding RNA (GRAI_LNC007056)
Source: RNAcentral